Molecule: unclassified non-coding RNA, 247 nt
Filed under: Coprinopsis cinerea
Lineage: Eukaryota; Fungi; Basidiomycota; Agaricomycetes; Agaricales; Psathyrellaceae
Description: ITS1
Source: RNAcentral
UUGAAUAAAAUCUGACGUGGUUGUCGCUGGCUCCCCCGGGAGCAUGUGCACGCCCGUCACCUUUAUUUCUCCACCUGUGCGCACACUGUAGGCCUGGAUACCUCUCGUCGCAAGGCGGAUGCGUGGCUUGCUGUCGCUUUCGAAAGAAGGCCGGCUUGCCAUGAAUUUCCAGGUCUAUGAUUUCUUACACACCCCAAACUGAAUGUUAUGGAAUGUCAUCUCAAGGCCUUGGUGCCUAUAAACCUAU